GUCUACGGCCAUGCCACCCUGAACAAGCCCGAUCCUGUCUGAUCUCAGAAGGGUCAGCCUGGUUAGUACUUGGAUGGAAGACCACGUAGGAAGAUCAGGUGCUGCAGGAA
This 110-nucleotide ribosomal RNA is filed under the name Pteropus alecto (black flying fox). Lineage: Eukaryota; Metazoa; Chordata; Mammalia; Chiroptera; Pteropodidae. The record is from RNAcentral.